RNAcentral lists this ribosomal RNA (439 nucleotides) under uncultured bacterium. RNAcentral's name for it is "bacterial SSU rRNA". It matches the Rfam family "Bacterial small subunit ribosomal RNA", at positions 954 to 1392 of the family's 1533-position model. The record is from RNAcentral.
GCACAACGCGAAGAACCUUACCUGGUCUUGACAUAGUAAGAACUUUCCAGAGAUGGAUUGGUGCCUUCGGGAACUUACAUACAGGUGCUGCGUGGCUGUCGUCAGCUCGUGUCGUGAGAUGUUGGGUUAAGUCCCGCAACGAGCGCAACCCUUGUCCUUAGUUACCAGCACGUUAUGGUGGGCACUCUAAGGAGACUGCCGGUGACAAACCGGAGGAAGGUGGGGAUGACGUCAAGUCAUCAUGGCCCUUACGGCCUGGGCUACACACGUGCUACAAUGGUCGGUACAGAGGGUUGCCAAGCCGCGAGGUGGAGCUAAUCUCACAAAACCGAUCGUAGUCCGGAUCGCAGUCUGCAACUCGACUGCGUGAAGUCGGAAUCGCUAGUAAUCGUGGAUCAGAAUGUCACGGUGAAUACGUUCCCGGGUCUUGUACACACCG